GCGGCGGACGGGUGAGUAAUGUCUGGGAAACUGCCUGAUGGAGGGGGAUAACUACUGGAAACGGUAGCUAAUACCGCAUAACCUCGCAAGAGCAAAGAGGGGGACCUUCGGGCCUCUCGCCAUCAGAUGUGCCCAGAUGGGAUUAGCUAGUAGGUGAGGUAAUGGCUCACCUAGGCGACGAUCCCUAGCUGGUCUGAGAGGAUGACCAGCCACACUGGAACUGAGACACGGUCCAGACUCCUACGGGAGGCAGCAGUGGGGAAUAUUGCACAAUGGGCGCAAGCCUGAUGCAGCCAUGCCGCGUGUGUGAAGAAGGCCUUCGGGUUGUAAAGCACUUUCAGCGGGGAGGAAGGCGGUGAGGUUAAUAACCUCGAUUGACGUUACCCGCAGAAGAAGCACCGGCUAACUCCGUGCCAGCAGCCGCGGUAAUCGGAGGGUGCAAGCGUUAAUCGGAAUGACUGGGCGUAAAGCGCACGCAGGCGGUCUGUUAAGUUGGAUGUGAAAUCCCCGGGCUUAACCUGGGAACUGCAUUCAAAACUGACAGGCUAGAGUCUUGUAGAGGGGGGUAGAAUUCCAGGUGUAGCGGUGAAAUGCGUAGAGAUCUGGAGGAAUACCGGUGGCGAAGGCGGCCCCCUGGACAAAGACUGACGCUCAGGUGCGAAAGCGUGGGGAGCAAACAGGAUUAGAUACCCUGGUAGUCCACGCUGUAAACGAUGUCGAUUUGGAGGUUGUGCCCUUGAGGCGUGGCUUCCGGAGCUAACGCGUUAAAUCGACCGCCUGGGGAGUACGGCCGCAAGGUUAAAACUCAAAUGAAUUGACGGGGGCCCGCACAAGCGGUGGAGCAUGUGGUUUAAUUCGAUGCAACGCGAAGAACCUUACCUACUCUUGACAUCCAGAGAACUUAGCAGAGAUGCUUUGGUGCCUUCGGGAACUUGAGACAGGUGCUGCAUGGCUGUCGUCAGCUCGUGUUGUGAAAUGUUGGGUUAAGUCCCGCAACGAGCGCAACCCUUAUCCUUUGUUGCCAGCGAUUCGGUCGGGAACUCAAAGGAGACUGCCGGUGAUAAACCGGAGGAAGGUGGGGAUGACGUCAAGUCAUCAUGGCCCUUACGAGUAGGGCUACACACGUGCUACAAUGGCGUAUACAAAGAGAAGCGACCUCGCGAGAGCAAGCGGACCUCAUAAAGUACGUCGUAGUCCGGAUUGGAGUCUGCAACUCGACUCCAUGAAGUCGGAAUCGCUA
This 1240-nucleotide ribosomal RNA is filed under the name Pectobacterium sp. RNAcentral describes it as "bacterial SSU rRNA". It matches the Rfam family "Bacterial small subunit ribosomal RNA", at positions 95 to 1337 of the family's 1533-position model. Lineage: Bacteria; Pseudomonadati; Pseudomonadota; Gammaproteobacteria; Enterobacterales; Pectobacteriaceae. The record is from RNAcentral.